Molecule: long non-coding RNA, 89 nt
Filed under: Taeniopygia guttata (zebra finch)
Lineage: Eukaryota; Metazoa; Chordata; Aves; Passeriformes; Estrildidae
Description: lncRNA (ENSTGUG00000027027.1)
Source: RNAcentral
UGCCAGUUCUGUCGCCUCUGGGCCGUGGUGUCUGCAGGGCCCAGGGCUGUGCUGUGUCUCCUGCAGAAGACAAAGUCCUGGCCCGUGUG